CCUACGGGGUGCAGCAGUGGGGAAUAUUGGACAAUGGGCGAAAGCCUGAUCCAGCCAUGCCGCGUGUGUGAAGAAGGCCUUCGGGUUGUAAAGCACUUUCAGUGGGGAAGAAAGCCUUGGGGCUAAUACCCUCGAGGAAGGACAUCACCCACAGAAGAAGCACCGGCUAACUCCGUGCCAGCAGCCACGGUAAUACGGAGGGUGCGAGCGUUAAUCGGAAUUACUGGGCGUAAAGCGCGCGUAGGCGGUCUGAUAAGCCGGUUGUGAAAGCCCCGGGCUCAACCUGGGAACGGCAUCCGGAACUGUCAGGCUAGAGUGCAGGAGAGGAAGGUAGAAUUCCCGGUGUAGCGGUGAAAUGCGUAGAGAUCGGGAGGAAUACCAGUGGCGAAGGCGGCCUUCUGGACUGACACUGACGCUGAGGUGCGAAAGCGUGGGUAGCAAACAGGAUUAGAUACCCGAGUAGUC
This 465-nucleotide ribosomal RNA is filed under the name Vreelandella stevensii. RNAcentral describes it as "partial 16S ribosomal RNA". It matches the Rfam family "Bacterial small subunit ribosomal RNA", at positions 338 to 795 of the family's 1533-position model. The record is from RNAcentral. Lineage: Bacteria; Pseudomonadati; Pseudomonadota; Gammaproteobacteria; Oceanospirillales; Halomonadaceae.